This 73-nucleotide transfer RNA is filed under the name Eubacterium sp. RNAcentral describes it as "tRNA-Ala". It matches the Rfam family "tRNA". From Rfam's summary of the family: Transfer RNA (tRNA) molecules are approximately 80 nucleotides in length. Their secondary structure includes four short double-helical elements and three loops (D, anti-codon, and T loops). RNAcentral also lists the same sequence under 2 other names. The record is from RNAcentral. Lineage: Bacteria; Bacillati; Bacillota; Clostridia; Eubacteriales; Eubacteriaceae.
GGGGGCGUAGCUCAGUUGGGAGAGCGCUUGAAUGGCAUUCAAGAGGUCAUGGGUUCGACUCCCACCGUCUCCA